UUUAUGGAGAGUUUGAUCCUGGCUCAGGAUGAACGCUGGCGGCGUGCCUAAUACAUGCAAGUCGAGCGAACAGAUAAGGAGCUUGCUCCUUUGACGUUAGCGGCGGACGGGUGAGUAACACGUGGGUAACCUACCUAUAAGACUGGAAUAACUCCGGGAAACCGGGGAUAAUGCCGGAUAACAUGUUGAACCGCAUGGUUCUACAGUGAAAGACGGU
RNAcentral lists this ribosomal RNA (217 nucleotides) under Staphylococcus pseudintermedius. Its description in RNAcentral is "partial 16S ribosomal RNA". It matches the Rfam family "Bacterial small subunit ribosomal RNA", at positions 1 to 211 of the family's 1533-position model. Lineage: Bacteria; Bacillati; Bacillota; Bacilli; Caryophanales; Staphylococcaceae. The record is from RNAcentral.